GCGACGACGGGUAGCCGGCCUGAGAGGGCGACCGGCCACACUGGGACUGAGACACGGCCCAGACUCCUACGGGAGGCAGCAGUGGGGAAUAUUGCACAAUGGGCGAAAGCCUGAUGCAGCGACGCCGCGUGAGGGAUGACGGCCUUCGGGUUGUAAACCUCUUUCAGCAGGGAAGAAGCGAAAGUGACGGUACCUGCAGAAGAAGCGCCGGCUAACUACGUGCCAGCAGCCGCGGUAAUACGUAGGGCGCAAGCGUUGUCCGGAAUUAUUGGGCGUAAAGAGCUCGUAGGCGGCUUGUCGCGUCGAUUGUGAAAGCCCGGGGCUUAACUCCGGGUCUGCAGUCGAUACGGGCAGGCUAGAGUGUGGUAGGGGAGAUCGGAAUUCCUGGUGUAGCGGUGAAAUGCGCAGAUAUCAGGAGGAACACCGGUGGCGAAGGCGGAUCUCUGGGCCAUUACUGACGCUGAGGAGCGAAAGCGUGGGGAGCGAACAGGAUUAGAUACCCUGGUAGUCCACGCCGUAAACGGUGGGCACUAGGUGUUGGCGACAUUCCACGUCGUCGGUGCCGCAGCUAACGCAUUAAGUGCCCCGCC
Molecule: ribosomal RNA, 590 nt
Filed under: Streptomyces sp. ACT-99
Lineage: Bacteria; Bacillati; Actinomycetota; Actinomycetes; Kitasatosporales; Streptomycetaceae
Description: bacterial SSU rRNA
Rfam family: Bacterial small subunit ribosomal RNA
Source: RNAcentral